RNAcentral lists this small nucleolar RNA (103 nucleotides) under Sorghum bicolor (sorghum). RNAcentral describes it as "Plant small nucleolar RNA R71". It matches the Rfam family "Plant small nucleolar RNA R71". From Rfam's summary of the family: R71 is a member of the C/D box family of snoRNAs containing the C (UGAUGA) and D (CUGA) box motifs. Multiple nearly identical copies of this snoRNA have been identified in Arabidopsis, and it is thought to function as a 2'-O-ribose methylation guide for 18S ribosomal RNA. The record is from Rfam by way of RNAcentral. Lineage: Eukaryota; Viridiplantae; Streptophyta; Magnoliopsida; Poales; Poaceae.
AUUCCAUGAUGGGGACAUUCUAGGAUGUAGUCUUGGAAGCGCUCCCAUGCUUCUAGAACAGAUUCAUCAUGUUGUUGCUGAAAACAUGUUUCCCACGGAGAGC